This 153-nucleotide non-coding RNA is filed under the name uncultured Ferdinandcohnia sp. RNAcentral describes it as "TPP riboswitch (THI element)". It matches the Rfam family "TPP riboswitch aptamer (THI element)". Rfam says of the family: Vitamin B(1) in its active form thiamin pyrophosphate (TPP) is an essential coenzyme that is synthesised by coupling of pyrimidine and thiazole moieties in bacteria. Lineage: Bacteria; Bacillati; Bacillota; Bacilli; Caryophanales; Bacillaceae. The record is from RNAcentral.
UUCCACUAGGGGAGCCUUUAAGAAAGGUAAAUGAUACAGAGUCGUUUUCUUGAAUCAUUUACAAAAGGCUGAGAUUGAGGAUUGAUUUUUCAUAACCUCGAGACCCUUAGAACCUGAUCUGGUUUGUACCAGCGUAGGGAAGUGGGGAAAUAG